RNAcentral lists this transfer RNA (77 nucleotides) under bacterium. RNAcentral's name for it is "tRNA-Pro". It matches the Rfam family "tRNA". Rfam says of the family: Transfer RNA (tRNA) molecules are approximately 80 nucleotides in length. Their secondary structure includes four short double-helical elements and three loops (D, anti-codon, and T loops). RNAcentral also lists the same sequence under 1 other name. The record is from RNAcentral.
CGGGGCGUAGCGCAGCUUGGUAGCGCGUUCGGUUCGGGACCGAGAGGUCGCUGGUUCAAGUCCAGUCGCCCCGACCA